Molecule: long non-coding RNA, 1043 nt
Filed under: Marmota monax (woodchuck)
Lineage: Eukaryota; Metazoa; Chordata; Mammalia; Rodentia; Sciuridae
Source: RNAcentral
CAGUGUUCCAGGGUGGUGCAGAAAUCUUCAAGUACGUGCAUGGCUUCAUCACUGGUGUCCCUAGCGUUGGUCUGUUUUCUAAAAGUUGUUGCUGCUGCAUGGACUCAUUCAGCUCACGUAGGACUGCAUACUUCUUUCAUAACAAAUCAUUCAACAUGCUGAGUCAGAUCCUCUUUAACCAAAGGGCUCAUGCUCUUUGGUGAUCACAGAUAAAUGUAUGAUUGAUGCAAGUCACUUCCAGGAACUCCUGACAAGCCCAUCAAUGACACUAACUAUUGUCUGAGGUGGAGGACAUUCAAGACCUUUUGCCAUAUAGAUAACAUCAAGAAUUCUGUAAGUUUCUUCAGUUUCCAAGAGGUUAAUUUAUGGCAGCUUCAUUCCAGGGCUUAAUUUAAGUCUUUUACCACGCUGAAUCUCUGGAAGGGUAGAGUGAAGUCAGUGUUGUAGAACUGACCCUCUGGGCCAUGUAGGUGGGAGGCAACCUUUAACCACUGGUAAUGUGACUCAUUAUUCCACUGAAACUGUCUUCUCUGUGGUUUCCAGGAGACUGUCAUAGUCUGUGUAGAACUCACAGAUGGUAAACUCAGGAUCGUGGGUCAAAACAAUUCCUUCAUUCUGGAAGUGGUGUCCAAUGUCAUAAACCUGGUCAAUGCCAAAAGCACAUUAUGGUAAAGUUCUGGGGGCAAUUGUCUUACAUAAGUUCAUGUCUUAUUUUUUUGUGAUAAGAGAGGAAAAGCUUGGUCACAGCUCCCCCCCACCCUAGGAUGAUGUUCAUUUUAUAAAUUCUAAUCUCUAGGAAUCCCAGAUCACCCAAGAAGCUUCUUACAUCUGUGAUGACCUUACCAUUGAUGAUAUACUUCUGCCUUAUAAAAUCAAUCAGGAUCAAGUCCAGGCGGAGGUAACAUAUGUAACCAUGGAAAGAGCAGUAUGAUCUCGUAGGGAAUGACACUCAGCUCACCAUUUUUGAUUUUCUCAGGAUUCCUCUGAAUUUUAAUCAUGUCUCCUGAUGUAAUAUUGUUAUGAAUAAAUUCUUCUUCUGAUCA